This 541-nucleotide ribosomal RNA is filed under the name uncultured Bacillota bacterium. Its description in RNAcentral is "bacterial SSU rRNA". It matches the Rfam family "Bacterial small subunit ribosomal RNA", at positions 340 to 872 of the family's 1533-position model. The record is from RNAcentral. Lineage: Bacteria; Bacillati; Bacillota.
UACGGGAGGCAGCAGUAGGGAAUCUUCCGCAAUGGACGAAAGUCUGACGGAGCAACGCCGCGUGAGCGAUGAAGGCCUUCGGGUCGUAAAGCUCUGUUGUCAGGGAAGAACAAGUAUCGGAGUAACUGCCGGUACCUUGACGGUACCUGACCAGAAAGCCACGGCUAACUACGUGCCAGCAGCCGCGGUAAUACGUAGGUGGCAAGCGUUGUCCGGAAUUAUUGGGCGUAAAGCGCGCGCAGGCGGUUCCUUAAGUCUGAUGUGAAAGCCCCCGGCUCAACCGGGGAGGGUCAUUGGAAACUGGGGAACUUGAGUGCAGAAGAGGAGAGCGGAAUUCCACGUGUAGCGGUGAAAUGCGUAGAGAUGUGGAGGAACACCAGUGGCGAAGGCGGCUCUCUGGUCUGUAACUGACGCUGAGGCGCGAAAGCGUGGGGAGCGAACAGGAUUAGAUACCCUGGUAGUCCACGCCGUAAACGAUGAGUGCUAAGUGUUAGAGGGUUUCCGCCCUUUAGUGCUGCAGCAAACGCAUUAAGCACUCCGC